RNAcentral lists this ribosomal RNA (482 nucleotides) under uncultured bacterium. RNAcentral describes it as "partial 16S ribosomal RNA". It matches the Rfam family "Bacterial small subunit ribosomal RNA", at positions 28 to 523 of the family's 1533-position model. The record is from RNAcentral.
GACGAACGCUGGAGGCGUGCUUAACACAUGCAAGUCGAACGAUGAAAUGGAGCUUGCUCCAUGGAUUAGUGGCGAACGGGUGAGUAACACGUGAAUAACCUGCCCUUAAUUUUGGAAUAACCCAGGGAAACCUGGGCUAAUACCGGAUAAGUAAACCUGUGGCAUCACAUGGUUUUGGAAAGUUUUUCGAUUAAGGAUGGAUCCGCGGCCUAUCAGCUUGUUGGUGAGGUAAUGGCUCACCAAGGCGACGACGGGUAGCCGGCCUGAGAGGGUGAACGGCCACACUGGGACUGAGACACGGCGCAGACUCGUACGGGAGGCAGCAGUGGGGAAUAUUGCGCAAUGGAAGAAAGGCUGACGCAGCGACGCCUCGUGAGGGACGAAGGUCUUCGGAUUGUAAACCUCUUUCAGCAGGGACGAAGCGAAAGUGACGGUACCUGCAGAAGAAGCACCGGCUAACUAUGUGCCAGCAGCCGCGGUAA